Molecule: long non-coding RNA, 275 nt
Filed under: Ananas comosus (pineapple)
Lineage: Eukaryota; Viridiplantae; Streptophyta; Magnoliopsida; Poales; Bromeliaceae
Description: long non-coding RNA (ACOM_LNC014302)
Source: RNAcentral
AGAUUCAUGUCGGGCGCACUAAGGUACCGUUUGGUUCGGGUAUAAAGAAGAACUAGCUAUUACAGGGAUAGGUACUAAUAUGGGGAUAAAAAAAAUAGCGUUUGGAUGAAAAUUGGAUUGUUCUCGAGGAUAAUAAAAAUAUUAGGAAAUUUUAUAUAGAAAAUGAAGGUGUUGGUGGGGAUAACCGAGAACUACUAUUUUCGGAUAAAAAAUUAGCGUUUGGAUAUAAAGGAAGGGAUAAGUGCCUAUCCCUAUUCCUAUUCCCAAACCAAACA